RNAcentral lists this long non-coding RNA (1045 nucleotides) under Oryctolagus cuniculus (rabbit). RNAcentral describes it as "lncRNA (ENSOCUG00000032474.1)". Lineage: Eukaryota; Metazoa; Chordata; Mammalia; Lagomorpha; Leporidae. The record is from RNAcentral.
GAAAGACAGAGUUAGGGGGCUGGGGGUGGGGAGAGAGAGAGAGCGAGAGAGAGCUGUCUUUCAUCUGCUGGUUCACUCCCCAAAUAGCUGCAAUGACUGGGACUGGGCCAGGCUGAAGCCAGGAGCCAGGAGCUUCUUCCAGGUCUUCCACGUGGUGCAGGGGCCCAAGAACUUGGAUCAUCCUCUGCUGCUUUCCCAGGUGCAUUAGCAGGGAGCUGGAUCAGAAGUGGAGCAGCUGGGCCUGGAACUGGUGCCCGCAUAGGAUGCCAGCGCUGCAAGUGGCGGCUUUACUGACUAGACCACAGCACUGGCCCCAGGUGGAAUGAUUUCUGAAGGAUCCCCAAGAACUAAGAGGGCUGCUCAGUAUUUCCUCAUGGAAAAUAAGGAGCCAUUGUCAGAGUUAUCUCCUGGACCAAAGCGCCAGGAAGAAUGCGGUGGCGGCGGGGAAGUCCCACUACUCCAUCUGUUCCGGAUGCAAGGCAAUUAACACAGCAGAAGACAGGAGCUGCUCAGGGGCCUCUGGGCGCGGGGACCCUGCCCGCCUCCUCUCUGGAGCGGCCUCGUGGCUGGGAGGCCGGGCUCGCGGAGCUCACGUGGUGGCAGGCGAUGCAGACCUGACGCUCCGGGUCCCUGUGGCCUUGCUCCUCUACCCAGCUGAUGUUUCCUGGUCACCUGCUACGUCCCAAGGGCUCUAUGGAGAUCUCCUGAUGGAACCCCAUGGUGAUGUGUUUUCUAGGCCCAUUUUAUAGUCAGAGGCACAGAGGCAGACGGAUGUGUGCAGGGCUCUGGACAGGGAGGUGGCUGAACAUUUCACAGACAUUCGAGGAGAUUCAACUGUGUGGGACUUGCCUAGGCACCGGGGGUGGAACUGAAAUUUGAAGUCAGGGCAAGCAAAGAAGGGCGUGGCUAGUUCAGGGCAAGACUAAUUCUGUGGGAUAAAGCCAACAAUGGCGUCUCUUCUCUUCUCCAAUCAGCUUGAAGGUUGAGUGGCCUACGUAGCCAUCCAGGUGGUCCUCACGGGUCUGGGCCACACCUGGGAGCUGUU